Coffea arabica (coffee) is the source of this 3289-nucleotide non-coding RNA. The record is from RefSeq and is a predicted model, not a curated record. NCBI's taxonomy places the organism in Eukaryota, Viridiplantae, Streptophyta, Magnoliopsida, Gentianales, Rubiaceae.
CAUCCUAUAACAGCUGUUCAAUUAGAAUGGUCAUUGUGGUCAAGAGAUUGGACAAAGAAAUUCAUCUGACAAGCAGUGAUUUUUCUCUGCAGGACCACAACUGUUUGACAACUUGGCAGAGGGUGACAUGCAUAAGAGUUUUCCAAGGCUGAAAUCAGAAAACCUGGAGGAAAACAAGAAAAUAUUUGCACGGGUUACUGAAAUGCAGCAAAGAAAGGAUGCACCCCAGCACAGCUGGCCUUGGCUUGGGUUCAUCAUCAAGGAGAUGGCAUGGUUCCAGUACUUGGUGCCACCAAGAAGGAGAACUUCAACCCAAAUGUCAGAGCUCUAUCAGUGAAAUUAACAUGAGUAGAUGGCUAAACUUGUGUCCUAUGCUUCCGCUGAUGUGGUUAAGGGUAAUAGACAUGCCUUCGUGGCAACAACAUGGAAGAACUCUGAUUUUGUUAUUGUUUAUUUUUUGGACAAAAAAACUCCAUUUUUUCAAUGGGUUCUCUUCUUGUAGAAAAAGGAAUUUAAUUUUUUUUUUUCGUUUUUCGUUAUUGCAAAAAGGGCUUGAUUUUGUGAUUUGAUAGAACAACUCCUUAUUACUUUUCUAGCCCUCUACAUUCUGAUUAUAUGGAUGUGUUUCCAUCUAAUUAUGCCUUUUUAUGUAAUUUAGCUUUUUUAACUUUUUACCCACUCUUGGAGACCGUUUUCCCUCUGAAUUCUGUCGGCCAUUACUGUUCAUUGCAUUUCAUCCCCUCUUCUCUAGGCAAUUUUGUCAUUCCAGCCUCUUGCUUGUUCUUUUUCUUGAAGCUGGUACAACUGGUUGCUGCUUUUAUUUGGAGAAUGUAUCUUUUCUAUCCUUAUUACACAACGCUUUUUUGGUUAUUGCUUUGCAAAACUCCAUAUUUGUGUUUUCACAGUAGCCUUCUACUUUUGCUAUUGGAAAUUGUUCUUCAUCUGACUCCAUGUUUGCUUUUAUUUUUUGCAUUUACAUCUCUCCGCUCUAUCCUGCUACCACUUACACGAAUGGCAUCUAAAUCACAGGUGUCCAAACAUCUGAGACGUUACCAUGCCUACAUUUUUCCUACCAGCUACCACUGCCUUUUUGAGGCCAUUUCUAUCUAUUACCAGAUAUUUGCCAACCCUUCAUCUUCCUUCAUCUUCUCCAGAGGCCAUAACAAUAAAGGACCGGGCCAUCUCCAAUCUCUCUGAUCUGCUUGGGCAAGAAAAUAAGGCGAAGGAACAUAAGAAUCUUUUGACCCAACUUCGGCCCUUCUUUUCCUUGAUCCCCAAAGUGAAAGCUGCAAAAAUUAUCUGUGGAAUUGUUGAUACGGUGGCCAAAAUACCUGCCACAUCUGAUGUUCAGAUUACCCUAUGCAAGGAAAUUGUGCAAUAGACGCGUGAUGAGAAGUGAACUUUCCUUUGUUAGCGCACUGAGGCAAAACUUGCAGCUCUAUUGAUGGAGACCAAGGAAGAUUACGAAACUUUAGCUCUGCUUUCUGGACCAAUCAAGGAGGCUUCAAAUAUUUUGCAAGAGUUGAUCAACAUUCAUAUUGACGGAAAAGUUAUAUUAGCAAUCCAAGGUCAGGUCAAAGAUGAUAAGCCUACCUUUAUUGAGCGAACAGCAGUAAAAUCUAUUUGUGGAGUCUUUGAAAACUUGUUGACUACUCAAGUUGGCAUUCCAAAUGAACAGCUUCUGCAAGUCAUUUUUGUCUUGUUCCUAAAACUUUAGAGGUGCCGCAUGUUUAUUUGAAGAGUAUAGUACUCAAACUCGCUCAAACGAUGACUAAUGAUAGUGGUGUUUCUGACACAACAUAUGCGCUGUUCAGAGUUUGAAGACUACGGGACCUUUAAGCUUUGAAAGUCUUGUUCUCUAUUUUCUUGGAAGAGUUGCCUGCAAGAAGCAUUUGACAAGGUAUCUAGCUCUGAGAACUUUAGAACCUGCUUUUCAGGGAACUGGUCAGAGAAUGUAUCCUAAUUGAAAGACUGCAGUGGAUAAUUAUACUGAUCUUUCAGUAUCUGUUAUUCCAUUUAUUUCAUGAAAUAUGGAACGCGUCACGUGUUGCAUCACAUUACGAAAAUUGCUACGAUACUAACAUGAAAAACCUUUCCAAAUAAUCUUCAACCCAAACAGGCUCUUCGAUUUUCAAUCAAGGAAAAGCUUAAACUUUUUAUCCUGUUUUAAGUUUCGAUCCAGUGAACAGAAAAAAACUAAUAUCAACCUUGUUGCGUUUAGCGCAACGGAUCUUCUGUACCACAGCCUGUCUCACAUCCUGUCCCACUCCUUAAAAUCUCGCCAAGUGUCCCUUAAUAAACCAAAUUCUCAAACAACUUAACUCAGACCAUAUUAAGUUAAUUAAUCGAUUAACCGGACAAAGAAAUUUAAUCUCUUUAACCAAUAUAAUCAAAACCAAGAAAAAUAAAAACUCUUUAACCAAAAUUACAAUUUUUCAACGGAAAAAACCCUAAAAUAUUAAAAAACCUCUGUCCGAGUUCAUCAUCUUCACCAUUCAGCUUUGACGAAAUAUUCACGGAUAAAACUUCGAAGCUCUUCCCAAAGGUCCUCUGUCCUCUUCAUCAUCUCUUCCCAUGAGAAAUAACUUUUUUACGAGGAUGAGAUAAAGCUUCGAAGCUCUUCCCAAAGCUUCCACUCCAAAUGUUUCAUCUGUUAAAUUUUCUGAAAAUUCGGUAUGUACUGGACGAAGCUCACCAGCUGUUCGAUCAAAUGCCUAAGAGGAAGAUGAAUCAAACUCUAAGGGGUAUCUGAUAUGAUGAUAGGUUUUUGCAGUCAACUGGAACUGAUUCGUGUUACUGCAUCUGAGACUAUGGAAGCCUAUAUCAUUCUGUGCAACCUUGAUGAUGGACAAGAAGAGCAGGAGAGGAAAAGGUUCUUGCGUGGAGGAGGAGGAGGAGGAGGAGUGGGGUAAGGCAGAGCCAUCAACUCUCAAGAAUUCGCCGGAGAACAAACUAAGGGAGGCUCUCGAGGAGGCUUCUGAAGAUGGGUCACUUCGUAAAAACACAUGAAAUUCACUCUGAGUCUUUGAAUCAAGAUGGCUGCUUGGGAAGGUCAAUAUCUCUUGCAAGGCUUAAUGCCCAGAAGGAAUUCUUGAGGGCAACUACUCUUUUGUCUGAAAGGACAUUUUGCAUUGAAGAAUCCAUUCCUGGCUUUAAUGAAGCCUUCUUGUUGGUUCUUGACUUUGUACCCGAAGUUCCAAUGUUGAGAAACAAUUGACCAUUUGAGAAUUGACUUUGUACGGGUUGUUUUCUUGUUUUCAAACGCUACAAAAAGCAUAAUAUUCACUUA